This 357-nucleotide ribosomal RNA is filed under the name Triticum aestivum (bread wheat). RNAcentral describes it as "partial small subunit ribosomal RNA". The record is from RNAcentral. Lineage: Eukaryota; Viridiplantae; Streptophyta; Magnoliopsida; Poales; Poaceae.
AUGAUUGAAUCAAAGCUAUUUUGUUUUCUAGGGUAUCUGCAAUCAAUGGAAAGACACAUUGUUUUUCUCUUUCCAUAUUUAUCUGUCAGGAUUUUUAGUAGUGAUUUCCUCCCUACAUUUUGGUGUUGUGUGAUCUUUGCUCUCCCCCAGAUGACAAAUUUACUCGAUAGCAGGUUCAAAGAUAUAGAGAUGCAAGGUAUAGCACAAACUGAAGAAACAGGGAUUGCUUGCACAAACUAUAUAAAUUGUGAAAAAACAAAACCACUGAGCAGAUCAUCGUCUGUCCUUAUUUUGAAUUACAUAAACAGGAAUAAUAGUUACAUGAUUUUUUUAACAAAGAAAAUGGUAAAUUGUUAG